UUCUUAAUGAAAUUAUUUUAAGUAUAACCUGCUCAAUGAACUAUUUAAAUAGCCGCGGAAAUUUAACCGUGCUAAGGUAGCAUAAUCAUUUGUCCUUUAAUUAAGGACUAGUAUGAAUGGUUAAACAUUUAAUUUCUUUAUUAAUUUUAUUAUUUUUAACUUAAAUUAAGAAUAAAAAUGUUCUUAUUUAUUAAAUAGACGACAAGACCCUUUUGAACUUUACUUAUGUUAAGCUGGGGCAGCUUAAUAAAAAUUACUUUAUUUUUGUUUAAUUUUAUAAAUGACCCAAUUUAAUUGAUUUUUUGAUCAAGUUACCAAAGGGAUAACAGCGUAAUAUUUUACUUAAGCUCUUAUUUAAUAAAUUGAUUGCGACCUCGAUGUUGAAUUAUUGUUACUUUAUAAAUGUAGUAAUUUUAAAAGUAGGUCUGUUCGACCUUCAAAACAUUACAU
This 450-nucleotide ribosomal RNA is filed under the name Cyrtarachne yunoharuensis. RNAcentral describes it as "partial 16S large subunit ribosomal RNA". It matches the Rfam family "Bacterial large subunit ribosomal RNA", at positions 1831 to 2601 of the family's 2925-position model. Lineage: Eukaryota; Metazoa; Arthropoda; Arachnida; Araneae; Araneidae. The record is from RNAcentral.